AUGGGGCUGUUAUGUGACCAACCUACCUGUCUGCCAGCAGGCAUGGGGCUGUUAUGUGACCAACCUACCUGUCUUCCAGCAGGCUUGGGGCUGUUAUGUGACCAACCUACCUGUCUGCCAGCAGGCAUGGGGCUGUUAUGUGACCAACCUACCUGUCUGCCAGCAGGCUUGAGGCUGUUAUGUGACCAACUUACCUGCCUGCCAGCAGGCAUGGGGCUGUUAUGUGACCAACCUACCUGCCUGCCAGUGGGCAUGGGGCUGUUAUGUGUCCAACCUACCUGUCUGCCAGCAGGCAUGGGGCUGUUAUGUGUCCAACCUACCUGUCUUCCAGCAGGCAUGGGGCUGUUAUGUGGACCAGCCUGCCAGUGGGCAUGGGGCUGUUAUGUGUCCAUCUACCUGCCUGCCAGCGGGCAUGGGGCUGUUAUGUAUCCAACCUACCUGUCUGCCAGCGGGCAUGGGGCUGUUAUGUGGACCAGCCUGCCAGCGGGCAUGGGGCUGUUAUGUGACCAACCUACCUGUCUUCCAGCGGGCAUGGGGCUGUUAUGUGACCAACCUACCUGUCUGCCAGCGGGCAUGGGGCUGUUAUGUGUCCAACCUACCUGUCUGCCAGUGGGCAUGGGGCUGUUAUGUGUCCAACCUACCUGUCUGCCAGCAGGCAUGGGGCUGUUAUGUGUCCAACCUACCUGUCUUCCAGCAGGCAUGGGGCUGUUAUGUGGACCAGCCUGCCAGUGGGCAUGGGGCUGUUAUGUGUCCAUCUACCUGCCUGCCAGCGGGCAUGGGGCUGUUAUGUGUCCAACCUACCUGUCUGCCAGCGGGCAUGGGGCUGUUAUGUGUCCAACCUACCUGUCUGCCAGCGGGCAUGGGGCUGUUAUGUGGACCAGCCUGCCAGCGGGCAUGGGGCUGUUAUGUGACCAACCUACCUGUCUGCCAGCGGGCAUGGGGCUGUUAUGUGACCAACCUACCUGUCUGCCAGUGGGCAUGGGGCUGUUAUGUGUCCAACCUACCUGCCUGCCAGCGGGCAUGGGGCUGUUAUGUGUCCAACCUACCUGUCUGCCAGCGGGCAUGGGGCUGUUAUGUGACCAACCUACCUGCCUGCCAGUGGGCAUGGGGCUGUUAUGUGACCAACCUACCUGCCUGCCAGUGGGCAUGGGGCUGUUAUGUGUCCAACCUACCUGCCUGCCAGCGGGCAUGGGGCUGUUAUGUGUCCAACCUACCUGUCUUCCAGCAGGCAUGGGGCUGUUAUGUGGACCAGCCUGCCAGUGGGCAUGGGGCUGUUAUGUGACCAACCUACCUGCCUGCCAGCGGGCAUGGGGCUGUUAUGUGUCCAACCUACCUGUCUGCCAGCGGGCAUGGGGCUGUUAUGUGUCCAACCUACCUGCCUGCCAGUGGGCAUGGGGCUGUUAUGUGUCCAACCUACCUGCCUGCCAGUGGGCAUGGGGCUGUUAUGUGACCAACCUACCUGUCUGCCAGCGGGCAUGGGGCUGUUAUGUGACCAACCUACCUGUCUGCCAGUGGGCAUGGGGCUGUUAUGUGUCCAACCUACCUGCCUGCCAGUGGGCUUGGGGCUGUUAUGUGACCAACCUACCUGCCUGCCAGUGGGCAUGGGGCUGUUAUGUGUCCAACCUACCUGCCUGCCAGUGGCCAUGGGGCUGUUAUGUGACCAACCUGCCUGCCUGCCUGCCUGCCAGCGGGCAUGGGGCUGUUAUGUGA
Oncorhynchus mykiss (rainbow trout) is the source of this 1710-nucleotide long non-coding RNA. Lineage: Eukaryota; Metazoa; Chordata; Actinopteri; Salmoniformes; Salmonidae. The record is from Ensembl.